Molecule: RNA transcript, 2296 nt
Organism: Lolium rigidum
Lineage: Eukaryota; Viridiplantae; Streptophyta; Magnoliopsida; Poales; Poaceae
Exons: 8
Source: RefSeq, a predicted model, not a curated record
CGUACGUGUAUUCGAUACCCGGGGCAUGCGCAGACCUGCAUUGGCAGGGAAUCGUACUCAUCGGGAGAGCUCUCCGGCUCUCCAACAUGGUGUCGGGCCCUCCCUCCUCACCUGCGGAUGAAAGGAUGAUCCGUGUGUGGGCGCAACUCGCUCAGUAUCACGCGAUAAAGAGCAGGGUUAAAAUCCAUCUGGUCCUGGUGUGGAAUUUUUGCUAAUGUAAUGACCGAAUUGGUCUAGUCCAGUGCAGCCCUUUUGCUACUGAAAGAAUGAUGAUGAUUUCUGUUUAGUUCUCUUAUUUGCCUUAAAAGGUUUGCUUUAGUCUCAUGGUACAGGACACAUCCCGAAUUCUCUUCCUGCAAGCUUAUGUUUCAAAGCAGCAUCAUAACUGUAUCUGUCCCUCUCUAUAAAAUUUCUAUUGGUUCAGAUUUUGUGCACCACAGAUGGCUGAUACUCCACUACCUGGUAAUGCGUCCGAUUUUACUUCAGAAACAGGUUAUUAUACUACUCUAGCUUCUAAAAGAUCUUCUUUUCAAUUUACUGAACAUUUUAUUGCACUGUCAUUCCAGAUUGAUUUCCCUAUUAUGAGUUUAUGACUCAUAGAUGGCCUUUUCUUAUUACCAUUUUUGUCAAGAUUACUUUCACAUAUGUUGUAUAUACUGUGAGUGUACAACUCUGUCAAGAUGGUUGUAAGAGGAAUUUUAUUUUCUCCUACCAUGUUUUUCCAAGAUUGGACAUUCAAGUUUUUUAUUAUCUUUCAGGUAAUUCAUUAUUUCUUGAAUCCCUCUCAACUACUGCAAGUUUUUUUGCAAUUUGCUAAUAGAAACUAGAGUUAGCAACUUAGUAUGGCUGCCUAGUUCACCAAAUAUUCUGCGGUCAAUAUAAACUCAUAUACUUGUUGACAGGUUUCUGUGUCACAGUGAAACGGAUGUAUAUCUAUGCUGGAUGACGUGUGUACUUUUUUGCAGGUCAUGAUAUGUUUCCUCACAGUUCAAGUUCAUAUUCUGGAAGGAUGUUGAUCCACGAACCUGAUAGUAUUGGUAUAGAUAAAUUCGAUGAUUUUAAAUGUUCCAUGUUUGCUUACUCUACAUACUUUUCACUUAAGUAUGUGUUUACAGUAUCGGCCUAGUGUGUAGUGAUGCUUGAUUAAGCAUCUGCCUUUAACUAGGAAACUCAUUCUUCAGUAUACGUUCCAUUGUAGCGUAAUUUAGGCUUCGUUAGAGAUACUUCAUUAUUUUACCCCACAUGUGAUCACUUAACAUGUUAGUAUUUUUUUAUGCCACUCCUCAAUCCUGAUAUACAUGCAAAUUCACGAUGAAAGAGCGAAAUCCUGAUGAAUUUUGAGCUUACCUUUUAACUUAAAUUAUUACUGACAAGUUGUUUGUAUUGUACCAUGGUAAGUUAGUCUUUCGUCUUCAUGCAACAAGGAAAUAUCUGUUCGAUGUUUGUUUAUUCAUAAAUUAUGUAAGGAAAGGAUUGGCAAUUGUAUUUUAAUGCUUCAAGCAAUCAAGUUUCAGCUUGGCAACACACUCUGCAAUGUUUGGUAUUAAACAUGCAGCUUUUGGUUACAAUAUGUUUCAGUUCACAGACAUGCUGCAAUGCAUAAUCCAUUGACAAGGAUUCCUUCUGAAAUGUUUCCUCCACUGCAGGCAAAUAUAGCUCCUGAGCGACGAAGAGGACCACGGCCACUGCACAACUCCACAGGCCGGCCCUCCAGAGCAGUCACAAGCCCGCCCCCGCGAGCCGUGACCUCUCCAUCGCGCACAUGUGUGCCACCUCACCGCCAUCGCGCACAGGUUGAGCAGGCAACCUCACCUCCCCCUUUAUCUGGACAAGCUCAACUGUCGCGACGAGGAUGGAGGUCAAUACCACUGCACCCCCAUCGGCAUACGAUACAGGGUCACAAGCGGUUUGACUGGGUCAAGGAAUUGAGGAGCUGGUCCGAUGAUGGUCUGGAUUAGUUGAUCGCCAAUCGGCGCUGGCGGAGCAGGGUCACCGCCGCGCGAUGGCAGUGGAUUGACUCAUUCACGUAGUUGCAUUUUUAAGGAACUGUAUAUGUUGAAUAGUCCAGGAGUAUUUGUGAUUCUUGAGACAGAAUAGUGAUGUUGCAUAGGGGCGUUUGCCUUUUCGAGCUGUUGGAAACUAAGAGAAGUACAGUAUGAUAAGUUCUUGUCAGCAGGUUUAUUGGGAACUCUAUAUGUUGAAUAGUCCAGGAGUCGUAUGUGAAAUUUUUGAGACACUGCGCAGAACAUUUAUGUAGCAUUGGGGCGUUUGCCUUUGAGAGCUGUUGAAAACUAAA